UACUCACAUCUUAAUAUCCUUUGAUAUAUGUCUUUCUUUACUGUCUAACACGUCAAAAAUGUCUUCAAAUCUAUUUAGAAAGUUGUGAUAGUUACAGGAAAUGAGCUUGGAUGUUAACAUGACUAGCAAUGUUGGUCUUCAAGGUUCCCUUGAUUCUGUUGGUGAAUCAAGUUGAACGAAUGGUUCAGAUGGGAACACACAACGAUAUAUUUCUUGAAAAACUGAUUCUAACUUUAUGGUUAAGAGUCUUACGCAUAAGAAACUUCAUCAGUUGGGCAUACGGUUUUAUCAAUCACUCAACCUCGACCUCUGGAAGCAGUCAACCUGCGUAAGGUCAACAAGGUGAGAGGCCACUGGAGUGCAAGAAACAGUGCGUAAACAUUUUAUAUGAUAUAUCAAGUUGCAUAGUCAGGGUGUGGUUUAUAUGAGAUCUCAAGUUUUGGAGGGUGAUUGGCUUAAAAAAAUUGGUUAUUUGGUUUAGGUCUUAUUUUUCAUAUGUAAUGUGUUUCUGAUCAUGAACCGGUUUGAGCAAAUAGUAUUUGUCAUUAAGGUAAAUA
Long non-coding RNA from Brassica oleracea var. oleracea, 557 nucleotides. RefSeq lists it as uncharacterized. The record is from RefSeq and is a predicted model, not a curated record. Lineage: Eukaryota; Viridiplantae; Streptophyta; Magnoliopsida; Brassicales; Brassicaceae. The transcript has 3 exons.